Molecule: ribosomal RNA, 464 nt
Filed under: uncultured bacterium
Lineage: Bacteria
Description: SSU rRNA
Rfam family: Bacterial small subunit ribosomal RNA
Source: RNAcentral
AGGACUAACGCUGGCGGCGUGCCUAACACAUGCAAGUCGAACGAAGUAGCAAUACUUAGUGGCAGACGGGUGAGUAACACGUAGUCAACCUGCCCUUCAAUGGGGGAUAACUAGCCGAAAGGUUAGCUAAUACCGCAUACGAUCUCUGAGUGGCAUCACUCGGCGAUGAAAGGAGUAAUCCGUUGAAGGAGGGGACUGCGUCCCAUUAGUUAGUUGGUGGGGUAAUGGCCUACCAAGACUCCGAUGGGUAGCUGGCUUGAGAGAGCGACCAGCCACACUGGAACUGAGACACGGUCCAGACUCCUACGGGAGGCAGCAGUGAGGAAUUUUCCGCAAUGGGGGAAACCCUGACGGAGCGACGCCGCGUGUGGGAAGAAGGCCUUCGGGUCGUAAACCACUGUCGAGGGGACGAUAUUGACGGUACCCCUGGAGGAAGCCCCGGCUAACUACGUGCCAGCAGCCGC